ACUCAGUUGGUAGAGUGCUUGCCUUGCAUGCACAAGGUCCUGGGUUCAAUUCCCAG
This 56-nucleotide transfer RNA is filed under the name Ictidomys tridecemlineatus (thirteen-lined ground squirrel). Its description in RNAcentral is "Spermophilus tridecemlineatus (thirteen-lined ground squirrel) tRNA". It matches the Rfam family "tRNA", at positions 10 to 63 of the family's 71-position model. Rfam says of the family: Transfer RNA (tRNA) molecules are approximately 80 nucleotides in length. Their secondary structure includes four short double-helical elements and three loops (D, anti-codon, and T loops). Further hydrogen bonds mediate the characteristic L-shaped molecular structure. tRNAs have two regions of fundamental functional importance: the anti-codon, which is responsible for specific mRNA codon recognition, and the 3' end, to which the tRNAs corresponding amino acid is attached (by aminoacyl-tRNA synthetases). tRNAs cope with the degeneracy of the genetic code in two manners: having more than one tRNA (with a specific anti-codon) for a particular amino acid; and 'wobble' base-pairing, i.e. permitting non-standard base-pairing at the 3rd anti-codon position. Lineage: Eukaryota; Metazoa; Chordata; Mammalia; Rodentia; Sciuridae. The record is from Rfam by way of RNAcentral.